UACAGAGGGGGCUAGCGUUAUUCGGAAUUAUUGGGCGUAAAGGGCGCGUAGGCGGCCAUGCGUGUCUUCCGUGAAAUCCCUCGGCUUAACUGAGGACGUGCGGAAGAAACUGCAAGGCUCGAGUCCGGGAGAGGGGGGUGGAAUUCCCAGUGUAGCGGUGAAAUGCGUAGAUAUUGGGAGGAACACCGGUGGCGAAGGCGGGUCUCUGGGCCGAUACUGACGCUGAGGAGCGAAAGCAUGGGUAGCGAACAGG
This 253-nucleotide ribosomal RNA is filed under the name uncultured bacterium. RNAcentral's name for it is "partial 16S ribosomal RNA". It matches the Rfam family "Bacterial small subunit ribosomal RNA", at positions 524 to 776 of the family's 1533-position model. The record is from RNAcentral.